This is a long non-coding RNA of Homo sapiens (human), 332 nucleotides long. NCBI's taxonomy places the organism in Eukaryota, Metazoa, Chordata, Mammalia, Primates, Hominidae. The record is from Ensembl.
GGGGAGCCCCACUCAGGGCGUAAAUACAUUUGGUUCACUGUGAGAUUCUGGGGGUACUGACAGCGGCAAACACUGUCCUAGGGAAGUCACGUGACAUGAGGGCAAAGAUGGUGACGGCAGCACUGGUUAUAAGAAAAGAAAAUGAAAACAGCCGAAAACGGCUCAAAACAGGGACAUGACGAAGGAAGGGACACUGUAUAGUGAGCAGGUUUACAAGAUGCUUCCGGGAUAAGCAGGAGGGAAAAGGCAGAAAUGUCCACAUAACCACAGCUGCGGCCAAAUCCUCAGAAUUAUAUAACAGCACGAAACAUUAAAGAGGAUUUUAAAUCUGA